Molecule: ribosomal RNA, 320 nt
Filed under: uncultured eukaryote
Lineage: Eukaryota
Description: partial 18S ribosomal RNA
Rfam family: Eukaryotic small subunit ribosomal RNA
Source: RNAcentral
CCCCUAGAUGUUCUGGGCCGCACGCGCGCUCCACUGAACAGUUCAACAAGUCUUAACCUUGGCCGAUAGGUCUGGGUAAUCUUUGAACGCUGUUCGUGAUUGGGAUAGACCUUUGCAAUUAUGGGUCUUCAACGAGGAAUUCCUAGUAAACGCAAGUCAUCAGCUUGCAUUGAUUACGUCCCUGCCCUUUGUACACACCGCCCGUCGCACCUACCGAUUGAAUGGUCCGGUGAAAUCUCGGGACGGCGGCUUGGUCGCUUGCGUCCGACUGCUGAAACUUGAUUAAACCAUAUCAUUUAGAGGAAGGUGAAGUCGUAACA